This 524-nucleotide long non-coding RNA is filed under the name Rattus norvegicus (Norway rat). RNAcentral describes it as "long non-coding RNA NONRATT018475". Lineage: Eukaryota; Metazoa; Chordata; Mammalia; Rodentia; Muridae. The record is from RNAcentral.
UGUUUAAUUGGCCUCCCUCUGGGGAGGAAAGGAGUACAGUCGCUUUGCUCAUUUCUCAUGACCAACGCCAACUCGAUGCCUGGCACAACACACUGGGCCCUCAGAGUCUGACGAUCAACACACUGGAAGUAAUUGGCAUGCCAUCAUGGUGUCCCUGUCACGGCCCACUCAGAACCCGCAUGGGACAUAGCCCAUACUCUCAUUCAAACGAUAGCCACACUGACCCGGCGGAAUGGUUCCUUCUGUCCAUGUUGACAGGCCUGGCUUUGGCCCUCUGGCUUUGUCUGGGAGCCAUGGCUGUCAUCAUGUGGGUGCAGUAUAGGCUUUCGACCCAUUCAUUGUCCUGUCUGCCCCAGCACUAAUGCAGAGCUACAAAAAUAGCUGCACUGUUGACGGUCUCUUGGUCACAUCUGUUUCCCUCACAAACAUAGCCUGUGGUUUUCUGCUGCAGAGAGCCUGUGUUACGAUUUUUUGUUCCUUCCAAUGGCUCAUCAAAAAAAAAUAAACAAAGCCUGCCUCUGCCA